This 490-nucleotide ribosomal RNA is filed under the name uncultured bacterium. RNAcentral describes it as "partial 16S ribosomal RNA". It matches the Rfam family "Bacterial small subunit ribosomal RNA", at positions 30 to 507 of the family's 1533-position model. The record is from RNAcentral.
AUUGAACGCUGGCGGCAGGCCUAACACAUGCAAGUCGAACGGUAACAGGAAGCAGCUUGCUGCUUUGCUGACGAGUGGCGGACGGGUGAGUAAUGUCUGGGAAACUGCCUGAUGGAGGGGGAUAACUACUGGAAACGGUAGCUAAUACCGCAUAACGUCGCAAGACCAAAGAGGGGGACCUUCGGGCCCCUUGCCACCGGAUGUGCCCAGAUGGGAUUAGCUAGUAGGUGGGGUAACGGCUCACCUAGGCGACGAUCCCUAGCUGGUCUGAGAGGAUGACCAGCCACACUGGAACUGAGACACGGUCCAGACUCCUACGGGAGGCAGCAGUGGGGAAUAUUGCACAAUGGGCGCAAGCCUGAUGCAGCCAUGCCGCGUGUAUGAAGAGGGCCUUCGGGUUGUAAAGUACUUUCAGCGGGGAGGAAGGGAGUAAAGUUAAUACCUUUGCUCAUUGACGUUACCCGCAGAAGAAGCACCGGCUAACUCCGUG